CCUACGGGAGGCAGCAGUGGGGAAUAUUGCACAAUGGGCGAAAGCCUGAUGCAGCAACGCCGCGUGCGGGAUGACGGCCUUCGGGUUGUAAACCGCUUUCAGUUCCGACGAAGGUAACCUGACGGUAGGAACAGAAGAAGGACCGGCCAACUACGUGCCAGCAGCCGCGGUGAUACGUAGGGUCCGAGCGUUGUCCGGAAUUAUUGGGCGUAAAGGGCUUGUAGGCGGUUCGUCGCGUCGGAAGUGAAAACUCAGGGCUUAACCCUGAGCCUGCUUCCGAUACGGGCGAACUAGAGGGAUGCAGGGGAGAACGGAAUUCCUGGUGGAGCGGUGGAAUGCGCAGAUAUCAGGAGGAACACCGGUGGCGAAGGCGGUUCUCUGGGCAUUUCCUGACGCUGAGAAGCGAAAGCGUGGGGAGCAAACAGGCUUAGAUACCCUGGUAGUCCACGCCGUAAACGGUGGGCACUAGGUGUGGGGGACAUUCCACGUUCUCCGUGCCGCAGCUAACGCAUUAAGUGCCCCGCCUGGGGAGUACGGCCGCAAGGCUAAAAACU
This 554-nucleotide ribosomal RNA is filed under the name uncultured bacterium. RNAcentral's name for it is "bacterial SSU rRNA". It matches the Rfam family "Bacterial small subunit ribosomal RNA", at positions 338 to 901 of the family's 1533-position model. The record is from RNAcentral.